UACCCGGGUUUGACAUGCAAGUAGUAGGGAACUGAAAGGGGACCGACCCUUCGGGGAGCUUGCACAGGUGCUGCAUGGCUGUCGUCAGCUCGUGUCGUGAGAUGUCCGGUUAAGUCCGGUAACGAGCGCAACCCUUGCCGUAUGUUAUAGGUGUCAUACGGGACUGCCGAUAUAAAGUCGGAGGAAGGUGGGGAUGACGUCAAGUCAGCAUGGCCUUUAUGUCCGGGGCUACACACACGCUACAAUGGCCGGUACAAUGGGUAGCAAAGCCGCGAGGUGGAGCCAAUCCCGAAAGCCGGUCUCAGUUCAGAUUGCAGGCUGCAACCCGCCUGCAUGAAGUCGGAGUUGCUAGUAACCGCGCGUCAGCCAUAGUGCGGUGAAUACGUUCCCGGGCCUUGUACACACCGCCCGUCACGUCAUGGGAGCUGGCAACACCUGAAGCCGGUAUCCUAACCGAAANGAGGGAGCCGUCGAAGGUGGGGCUGGUGACUGGGACCGAAGNAAGUAACAAGGUAACCG
RNAcentral lists this ribosomal RNA (519 nucleotides) under uncultured Chloroflexota bacterium. RNAcentral's name for it is "bacterial SSU rRNA". It matches the Rfam family "Bacterial small subunit ribosomal RNA", at positions 972 to 1502 of the family's 1533-position model. The record is from RNAcentral. Lineage: Bacteria; Bacillati; Chloroflexota.